AUGUUGCGCGGCCCGGCCCAUUCCGUGCCGGCGACCGCCGCCGCCGCCGGCGGCGGCGGGCAGCCUCUGGUGGUGACGCUCAACUGCCUCGAGGACCCGUCGGUGGAGCGGGACGCGCUGGCCGGCGCGGCGGCCGUGGAGCACGCACCGCUCUCUGCGCUCGCCUCGGGCCACGUCGAGGCCGCCGCGGCCGUGCUCCUCACCUCUCUCGCCUUCCUCCCGCGCGCCGCGCAGCGCCGGCUCCGGCCGUGGCAGCUGCUGCUCUGCUUGGGAUCCCCCGACCGCGCCGCGGACGCCGCAGCGGCCGCGGAGCUCGGCCUCCGUCUCGUCCACGUCGACGCCAACCGCGCCGAGGAGAUCGCGGACACCGUCAUGGCGCUCUUCCUCGGCCUCCUCCGCCGCACCCACCUGCUGUCCGGGCACGCGUCCUCCUCCACGCCGUCCGCCGGGUGGCUCGGCUCCGUCCAGCCGCUGUGCCGCGGCAUGCGGCGCUGCCGUGGGCUCGUGCUAGGCAUCGUCGGCGUCAACGCCGCCGCGCGAUGUCUCGCCACCCGCAGCCUCGCCUUCCGCAUGAGCGUGCUCUACUUCGAUCCGCUCUACGAGGGUGCGGGCAAAACAAAGCGGCCUUCCAUUGUAUUUCCUUCUUCUGCUAGAAGAAUGGAUACUCUCAAUGAUUUAUUAGCAGCAAGUGACCUUGUUUCACUUCACUGUGCUUUAACAAAUGAUACAACAAACAUAAUUAGUGCCGAGCGUCUGCAGCACAUAAAACCUGGAGCUUUCAUAGUCAAUACCAGUAGCUGCCAGCUGAUAGAUGACUGUGCACUCAAACAACUCUUGCUCGAUGGCACUAUUGCUGGAUGUGCAUUGGAUGGCGCUGAAGGUCCACAAUGGAUGGAAGCAUGGGUACACGAGAUGCCGAACGUGUUAAUUCUUCCUCGAAGUGCAGACUACAGUGAAGAAGUGUGGAUGGAAAUCAGAGAGAAAGCAAUCACAAUAUUACAAUCCUUUUUCUUUGAUGGCAUUGUUCCAAACAAUGCUAUUUCUGAUGAAGAUGAAGCAAUAAGUGAUGUUGGAUGUGAAGAUGAUCAGCUAUAUAAACAGGCAAAUGAACACUCUUUGCGGGUCUGCGAUGGUGAACAACAGACAGAUGAAAGCCAACUAACUCUAGAGUGUGACAAGAGAAGAGCCAUCUCCAAGCCUGAAGUUCCUGAAGCUUCAGGGCAGUCCCAAAGUAUUGGCUUAAGAUCGGAAGGAAGGCGUAGCAGAUUUGGAAAGAAAGGGAAAAAGAGACCUGCGCGCCGCAGAUCACAACAGAAAAUGGAUGAAUUGUCAACUGUGGAGAGUGGAAGUAAUUAUUCUUCACGAAGAGAUGAUGAUACUGUGAUGAGUGGCCGGGACCAAGUGUUAAGUUCCAGUUCACGAUUUGCUUCCCCCGAGGAAUCCAAAAAUAAGCUCAGGUCUUCUGCUGAAUCUCCAAUGGAAAUAAUUUCUGAACAUAAGUUGCCUGCAGGGCUUGGUAGAAAGCCUCCUGAGAGGCUUAAAGAUGGCUUUGUCGUUGCCCUAAGGACAAGAGAUAAUUUGGGUUUUCAUGUUUCAAGAGAAAGAGUUGCUGGUGGUGGCUGGUAUCUUGAUGUUGUGUCAAAUGCUACAAAGAGGGAUCCUGCUUCUCAGUUCCUAAUCACAUUUAAAAACAAGGUGGAUACGAUGGGAUUGCGAUCUUUUGUUGCUGGGGGCAAACUAUUGCAGGUUAAUAAGAAGGCGGAGCUCGUAUUUGCCAGUCAUGCUUUCGAUAUUUGGGAGAGCUGGACGCUGGAAGGGUCUUUACUGGAAUGCUGCAAACUGGUCAACCACAGAAAUCCUUUGGCUGUAUUGGAGGUCUAUAUCGAGAUCCUCGCAGCGGUGAGCGAAGAAGAUGGCGUCACCAGGUGGCUCGAUUGA
RNAcentral lists this ribosomal RNA (1938 nucleotides) under Triticum aestivum (bread wheat). RNAcentral describes it as "partial small subunit ribosomal RNA". Lineage: Eukaryota; Viridiplantae; Streptophyta; Magnoliopsida; Poales; Poaceae. The record is from RNAcentral.